Molecule: small nuclear RNA, 110 nt
Organism: Leptonychotes weddellii (Weddell seal)
Lineage: Eukaryota; Metazoa; Chordata; Mammalia; Carnivora; Phocidae
Source: RefSeq, a predicted model, not a curated record
GUUUGCUUUGGCUGUACACAUACUAAAACUGGAAUGAUACAGAGAAGAUUAGAUUAGCAUGGCCCCUAAGCAAGGAUGACAUGUAAAUUUGUGGAGCCUUCCAUAUUUUU